RNAcentral lists this long non-coding RNA (483 nucleotides) under Carica papaya (papaya). Its description in RNAcentral is "long non-coding RNA (CPAP_LNC008657)". The record is from RNAcentral. Lineage: Eukaryota; Viridiplantae; Streptophyta; Magnoliopsida; Brassicales; Caricaceae.
CUCUCUCUUUUUUCCUGUGGGAUAUUUACUGUCAAACUUUGAAGUCUAGAUUCUUCUUUGGUUUCAAAGGCUAAGCAUAAACUCUUGUAAAAUCCGAGACAAUCGCAAAUAACUCUUGGAUGGGUUUCUAGACACUCAGUGGUCUCGGCUUCAAGCUUGUCAGGUGAUUUUGAAUACAGUGAACUGUUUAAGAGUAGAAAAUUGUUUCUUUUACAUACAAGAAAUAAGAAUCAAGGAUUGCUCAAAACACUCGUUUAAAAUAAAGUUAAAAUUCGAUAAUUAACAGAAAAUAUAACAGACGAUUAUCUUAAUGAGAUUUAAUUGUACUUAACAAUUUCAUAUAUUGGAAGGAAUUAUCUUUCUCAAACCUCGUCUUCAUGAAGCAGCAUAUUGGGAAUCCCUUUGCUUACAGGAAAUUUUCUUCCAGUUUCCGGACAAACUAGAGCACCCUCCACCAGGUGAAGCUCCAGAAGCGCAUGAUGG